Molecule: ribosomal RNA, 115 nt
Filed under: Pragia fontium
Lineage: Bacteria; Pseudomonadati; Pseudomonadota; Gammaproteobacteria; Enterobacterales; Budviciaceae
Source: RNAcentral
UGGCGGCGAUAGCGCGGUGGUCCCACCUGACCCCAUGCCGAACUCAGCAGUGAAACGCCGUAGCGCCGAUGGUAGUGUGGGGUCUCCCCAUGCGAGAGUAGGGAACUGCCAGACU